AUUGAACGCUGGCGGAAUGCUUUACACAUGCAAGUCGAACGGCAGCACGGGGCAACCUGGUGGCGAGUGGCGAACGGGUGAGUAAUAUAUCGGAACGUGCCCAAUCGUGGGGGAUAACGUAGCGAAAGUUACGCUAAUACCGCAUACGAUCUACGGAUGAAAGCGGGGGAUCGCAAGACCUCGCGCGAAUGGAGCGGCCGAUAUCAGAUUAGGUAGUUGGUGGGGUAAAGGCUCACCAAGCCAACGAUCUGUAGCUGGUCUGAGAGGACGACCAGCCACACUGGAACUGAGACACGGUCCAGACUCCUACGGGAGGCAGCAGUGGGGAAUUUUGGACAAUGGGCGCAAGCCUGAUCCAGCCAUUCCGCGUGCAGGAUGAAGGCCUUCGGGUUGUAAACUGCUUUUGUACGGAACGAAACGGUCUGCCCUAAUACGGCGGGCUAAUGACGGUACCGUAAGAAUAAGCACCGGCUAACUACGUG
Molecule: ribosomal RNA, 482 nt
Filed under: uncultured bacterium
Lineage: Bacteria
Description: bacterial SSU rRNA
Rfam family: Bacterial small subunit ribosomal RNA
Source: RNAcentral